RNAcentral lists this ribosomal RNA (738 nucleotides) under uncultured Bacilli bacterium. Its description in RNAcentral is "bacterial SSU rRNA". It matches the Rfam family "Bacterial small subunit ribosomal RNA", at positions 56 to 776 of the family's 1533-position model. Lineage: Bacteria; Bacillati; Bacillota; Bacilli. The record is from RNAcentral.
UGAUUAUUGAAAGGUGCUUGCAUCUUGAUUUAAUUUUGAACGAGUGGCGGACGGGUGAGUAACACGUGGGUAACCUGCCCUUAAGUGGGGGAUAACAUUUGGAAACAGAUGCUAAUACCGCAUAAAUCCAAGAACCGCAUGGUUCUUGGCUGAAAGAUGGCGUAAGCUAUCGCUUUUGGAUGGACCCGCGGCGUAUUAGCUAGUUGGUGAGGUAACGGCUCACCAAGGCAAUGAUACGUAGCCGAACUGAGAGGUUGAUCGGCCACAUUGGGACUGAGACACGGCCCAAACUCCUACGGGAGGCAGCAGUAGGGAAUCUUCCACAAUGGACGCAAGUCUGAUGGAGCAACGCCGCGUGAGUGAAGAAGGCUUUCGGGUCGUAAAACUCUGUUGUUGGAGAAGAAUGGUCGGCAGAGUAACUGUUGUCGGCGUGACGGUAUCCAACCAGAAAGCCACGGCUAACUACGUGCCAGCAGCCGCGGUAAUACGUAGGUGGCAAGCGUUAUCCGGAUUUAUUGGGCGUAAAGCGAGCGCAGGCGGUUUUUUAAGUCUGAUGUGAAAGCCCUCGGCUUAACCGAGGAAGUGCAUCGGAAACUGGAAAACUUGAGUGCAGAAGAGGACAGUGGAACUCCAUGUGUAGCGGUGAAAUGCGUAGAUAUAUGGAAGAACACCAGUGGCGAAGGCGGCUGUCUGGUCUGUAACUGACGCUGAGGCUCGAAAGCAUGGGUAGCGAACAGG